RNAcentral lists this long non-coding RNA (7453 nucleotides) under Homo sapiens (human). RNAcentral describes it as "non-protein coding lnc-KIFAP3-2:11". Lineage: Eukaryota; Metazoa; Chordata; Mammalia; Primates; Hominidae. The record is from RNAcentral.
CUUGUAAAUGAACAACUCAAAUGGGACUUUCAAAUUUGGCAUAUUGACUUUUGAAGCAAAACAAGCUUAUUAUUUGAAUUUCCCAAAGUAUAGUUAAAAGCUCUAGAGUCACAAUUCCAGCUUUGCUUCUGCCCAGCUCAGUGACCUCAGGUAAGUCAAUUAUUUAUUCAAUACCUUAGUUUCCUCAUCUAUCAAGCUGGUUGAAAAUUAACCUGCUCUACUUAAUGCAUGAAGUUGGUGUAAGAAUUAAAUGAGAUAUGUACAGAAAAUAUUUUUUAAAAGACUGAAGUACUAUCAAAAGCAAAUGUUAUUGUUGACUUUAGCCAGAAACACAAAGUAUCCUGUAUCUUGCAACAGGAACACAUUCUUGGCUCUGAUCUUUAUUCACACCAUCAAAAAAUGUCACUUAGCCUGCUUAUCUCCCUGUUGAACUCAUUAGCUGAAUUAUUAAUAGUUCCUCUGAAAUUCAGGUAGUAACUUCUAUUUUAUUUUGCAUUUUUACAGAACCUACCUAUAAGACUGAAAAUGCUAAUUUUAAACAAUAAACAAUAAGCAAAUCAGGCCACUUAAACACAGAACAUAUUGCUUCCCACACUCUGUAUUAGGGGCUGCAAAUAUCAAGGAGACUGUGGUGAACUGAGAAGCGUAAGUCUAGUGUAAAGGGGGCAAAUUCCGAGUCACCUUUAGUCAAUUGCUAUCAUUAAAAAAUUUAGGUCACCAUAGCCAGAUAUUUUGAUUUUUAUGAUUACAAUUUAGACUUUUAUGUAAAAUAUCUUGAUUUUUAAAUGUAGGGAACUGUUUCAAUCAGGAAAAUCUAGAUUACGCUGUAGGGGCAAAUCUUAGUGGUUUUAAACCACAAAGGUUUAUUUUUCAUUAAUGCCAAGUGCCAACUAAAGGCUAACAGAGAGGUUCUGCUGAUUAGUCUCUCAAGGCUCUAGGCUGACUGUACAGUCAGUAUUCAGUGUUGCUGGCCACCACAACACAAGGAGAAGAGAGAGGUCAGGAAGGUCUUGCUAUAGCAAUUAACUGCUGACCCAGUAGUGACAUAACACUUCUGCUCACAAUGCAAUGGCUAACCUAGUACAUGGACCUACCCCCAAACAAAGGCAACAGGUAUAGCUGGCUUAGCAAAUAACACAAUGAUUAUCACCAUUAUUAACUAAAAGAAAUGUAAAGAUUGGAUAAAAGAAAGAGAGACAAAGAAGAAAGAAAGGAAUGAAAGAGGGAGGGAGGGAAGAAGGGAAAGAAAGGAAGGCAGGCAGGAAGAAAGGAGGGAAAAAAGAAAGAAGGGGAAAGAAAGGAGGCAAAGCUGAAAAGCCACAUACAUUUUUGGGUUAAAUUAAGCUAAUGGGCUACCAGUUUGUGAUAUAUACUCCAUAUCCUUUAUUUAAGCCCUGCUCCCUCCACCUCAGAAAACUAUCAUUUGAAUCAUAUGUUGAUUAUUCUCUUCCUUCUCUAAUAGUCAUAUUGCAUCUACAAAUAUUUCUAAAAAGUAUUUACUUAGUUGUUUGACUUUAUAAAAAGGGUUUUGUGCUGUACAUCUGUUUUACUUAAUAUUACACUGUCAAUAGUCAUUCAUAUUGUCUAUGUUUCAGCAGUCAUUCAUUUUGUUGUAUAACAUUUCAUUGUGUGAAUAAACCAGAGUCUAUUGAUCUUCUUCCACUGAUAGACAUUUAGGUUGGUUACAGGUUUUUGCUUUUGUAAAUUUCAAUAAUGUGUCUCUUAUUUUACAUGUACAAGAAUUUGCUUUGGAUAUUAUCUAAGAACUACUGAGUCACAAAAUAUAACUUUAGAAGAAAUGUGAAAAUGCUUUCCAAAGUGUGCUCCCUCUAGUAAUGUAUAAGAUCCUGUGGAUGCACUUUCUCUUCAAUACACGAUACUGUCAGAUGUUUUAAUUUUUGUCAAUCAAAUGGGUGUAAAAUAGUACCUCACUGUAUUCUUGAUUUGUAAUUCUCUGCUCCUUGGUGGUGAUGAGCAUCUCUUCAUAUUUCCUUUUCUAGGAAAUAUCUAUUCAUGUCUUUUGUUGACUUUUCUUUUGUCUUGUAUUUUUUAUAUAUCAGCAGAAAACAAUUAGAAAAUACAAUUAAAGAGAAUAUAUUUCAAUACCAGAAAUUAUUACUUAUCUAGGAACAAAUCUAACAAAAAGAUGUUUAGUACCUCUAUAGGGAAAACUCUAAAAUUUUAUUGAGAAUUUAAACAAGUACUAAAUAAACGGAGACAUAUACCACGUUAGUGGCAAUGUUAAUAAUAUGAAGAUGAAAUUGAUCUAAAGAUUCAAUGCAAUUACAAUCAAAAUUCCUAAUGGGUUUUCCAUUAAAUUUGGUAAAAUUAUUAAAAUUUUUAUAUGAAAAGAUAGAAGGUCAAGAAUACUGGCUGGGUGCAGUGGCUCACACCUGUAACUACUAUACUAAGUAUAGUAAGAAACUAAUUUCUUAAGACAUGGAAAUGUUGGCUAUUAAAAAAAGGUUGACAUAUUUGAAUACAUUAAAAUUAAGGCCUGGAGUGGUGGCUCAUGCCUGUAAUCUCAGCACUUUGGGAGGCUGAGGAAGAAUUUCUUGAACCCAGGAGUUUGAGACCAACCUAGGCAAAAUAGCAAGAUCCUAUCCCUACAGAAAAAAAAAGAAGAAAGAAAGGAAGAAAACUAGCAUGGUGUAAUGGCACACAGCUGUAAUCCCAGCUACUUGGAAGUCUGAGGCAGGAGGAUCGCUUGAGCCCAGGAGUUCAAGGUUAUAGUGAACUAUGAUCGUGCUACUGCACUUCAGCCUGGGCAACAGAGUGAAAGCCAGUCUCAAAAAAUAAAAUACUUUGUUCAUCAAAAAGAUAAAAGUGAAAAGAUAACUUAAAAACUGGGAGAAGAUAUUCAUAAUGUAACUGGCAAAGAAUCAGUAUGAAGAAUAACUCUUCUGAAUAAAUAAUUUAACUAAAAAUUGACAGCAUGUGGCUGUACUGUUUUCUUCCAAUUUUUCAUUAUGAAAUAGACCAUACAUCAAAUAUAUGCAUGUGUUACACUCAUAAACACACACACUCAGUCUUCCAACCUAUAUGAUUAAAAAGAAAGUUUAAGAAAUAAAAUAUGACAGUAGUAGAAGUAACUACUCUUUAAGGAUAGACAUAAUCCUCCUUUUAGAAGAGAGAAUUUAUUUCCUGUCUCCCAAGUUAUAUGACUUGCUUUUGGUAAAUAAAAGUAGGAGUGUCACAUGUCAUUUACUGGUGAAAGGAUUUAAUUGCCAAUGUUCAAUUUUCAAUCUUCUUUUCUUCCUACUAUGGUAAACUCCUACAAGACAGCACCAAAAAACGGAGUGACUGUGCAACACAGUCACCUGCCAAACCCACAUUAAACAUGAAACGAGUGAAAACCAAAUCUUUAUUUUAAACAAUUGACUUAUUAGGGCUAUUUGUUACUUUAGCUUAACUUGUCUUAACCUGAUUUCAUAAAUACCAAUACCUCUGAAAUUCCCUCUCCCUGAUCACAUUCCCACGCCUCCCCACUAUAUACAAUCAUACGUCACUUAACAAAGGGAUACAUUCUAAGAAAUGUGUUGUAAGGCAAUUUUGUCCUUGCGCAAACAUCAGAGAGUGUAUUUACACAAACCUAGAUGGUACAGCCUACUAUAUACUUAGGCUAUAUGGUACAGCCUUUUGCUCCUAAGCUCCAAACCUGUACAGUAUGUCACUAUACUGAAGACUGUAGGCAACUGUAACAACGGUAUUUGUGUAUCUAAACAUAGAAAAAGCAUAGUAAAAACAGGGUAUUAUAAUAUUACCAGACCAUCACCAUAUAUGUGGUCCGCUGCUAACUGAAAUACUGUUAUUGAGUGCGUGACUGUAUAUAUUAUAUAUACAGCUAGCUGAUCCUUGGUAUAUGAGGAUAAUUGGUUCCAGGAUCCCCAUGUAUACCAAAAUCUGUGCAUACUCAAGUCCCACAGUUGGCGCUGUGAAGACCACAUACACCAAAAGUUGGCCCUCCAUAUACUCAGGUUUUGCAUCCCCCAAAUACUGUAUUUUUUAAAUGCACAUUUGUGUAUAAGUGAACCAUCACAGUUCAAACUUGUGUUGUUCAAGGGCCAAGUGUAACUACAUAUACUGUAUUAACAAACAUUUUAAUGCAUGUGGCUACAGUUAAUACUAAUAUAUUCCCACCAGCUGUACAGUAGCCCGCUAGAUGAGUAUACCACAAUUUAUUUAUCCAUUCCCUUGUUAAUGGACACUUUGGUUGUUUCCAACUUCUUAAUAUUAUAAACAAGACUAUUAACAACUUUCUUGACUAUGUUCCUCAAUGCCCAUACAGGGGUCUCCAGAGUACUACUGUCCUUAUUUUUCCUGGCAACCAACUCCAUCUUCCUAAAUUAUUCAAUAAAUUUUUAAAGAUAGAGAACAGCUAGAAAUGGCUUUAAAAUUAAAGGGCCAAAUCCUCUAAUUUUACAAAUAAGGAAUCCAAGGAGAAAAGAUUUAGAGGAAGAGCUGGAAGUUCUAUAUGCCAAUCACUGUGUUUAGCUACGGGUAUACAAGGAGGUUAAGAUAUUUUCCGUCCUCGAGGUGGUCACGGACUAGCGAUUUGGUUUCCACACUACAGUGGGCCUUGAAGUUCAGGUCCUCACCAUCCUCUAUCUACCCCCGGUUGCAAAGAUAUUUCAAAAUAUACUUCUACAUAAUGAAUAUGUUGUUUAAUUUAGAUUUUUAUAUUAAGUCAUCUUUACCCUGGAAAAUGCGCCUCUGCUAACACACAAACUUUGUGAAAUCUUCCCAAGCUCCAUCCAAUCCCCGGCAGAGUGAGGUUCCUCUUGUCUCUGAAGCAAGUUCUUGCAAUAUCUACUAUCACAUAACUUUGUGGUUUGUCUCCUCAUGAGUCUACUGGAGUCAGACCAGAGGCCAGGGCACUUGUACCCUGUAUAUCAAAGUAUGUGAAUGGAUGUUGAAAACACAAAGCAAAAGAAUUUGAGUAUAUCAAGCAACACAGAGUCAGUUAACUACAUAGCUUAGCCUAACCUUUAUGAUAGAGUUUUUAAAGUCCCCUGGACCAGUCAAAAUGUCCCCAGUCGAUAUAAUCUACAUUGGCCCUAUCUUACUAAUUUACUUCUUUUCCCACUUGUCUGCCCUAGAUUAUUCUCAUAUUUAUGCUAAAAAUGCACAAGCUACCAGAGCAACAUCCAAUUUCCCCACAAACGCUAACAAAAGGUUUACUUCAUUUGCUACCAAAAUAAAGUAUUUGAAUUAAGGUACCAAGAGUGAUGUACACUUCUUACAGAAAUUGUGUGUACUACCACGAUAACCAUACAGAUCACUGCGAAAUUUCAACCACAAGCAAAGUGCAAUUAAUAUUACUAAGUUUUCCACCAACAAUCAGCAAACUUAAUUCCUUCCACAACAACAAAAAAAUUGUACAAGCCCAUUCAAUGAUUACUCUAUAAAGCCAGAGAGAGAAGCACAAGGUUAGCUUACUCCAAAGUCAGUAAGACUGUAUGUAUAUAAACAUAUAAAGUCUUCACAUCUACCCUCUCAAAGACCCUUUUGGUUUGCUGAUUCUCAAAAAUUGGGAAGUACUGCAAAAAUCAUCUGGCAACCAGAAGUGAAUGCAACACUCCAGAUGAAUUGUGAAAAGUACCGAAUUUUUGCCUUUAUUCAGACGCCUGUGCUCCUUUUUUCCAACCAUCUGCUUCUAUAAAUUCAUCACAAUUCUAAUACGGUGUGCGCCCCUCCUCCUUCCCUUACCCUGACCCUAACCUUCCAACCGUUGAUUCCUGCAGCAAUCUUCCCUAAGGGAGACACCCCGGCUGUAGGCUCACUUCCUCUCCCAAGUCCCAUUCCUUUCACAAGAGUCAAAUCCCUACAGUGGAUUCCUGGACCGUUUUUUCUAAAAGAAGAUCCCAGUCCUCUGGCUUGCCCCUCCCGUCGUGACUCCCAUAUUUGAUGGGUCUGAAUGAAAAUCUGAUGAAACAGAUGUUACUUGAAGCUGAGUGACUUUCUCAGGGUCAAGCAAAUAAGUAAAUGGAGGAGCCAGAAUUAUACCCCAGGAUCCCCAUCACAAGGAGGGGAGGGCUACCAUCCCAGCUGCAAACUCUCAUUCAAGGUUUAUGCUGCAGCCAGCAGUGUCCUUGGAGUCUAGUUCAAAGCUGAAGAGAGUGAACCAUGGAACUGGGAGCCAUUGGCGGAGAGGCUGGCCUGAAGGAAGGGAAGUGUUUCAGCCAGAAUGUACUGACGCACAACCAGGAAACCACAAGACUGAGUAACUACCAGUUGCCAUGAAAUAAAUCACAUCAUCAUAUGGCAGAUCCAGCUAAUAGCUGAGACUGGCAGGAUAACUGAACCGUGUACUCAGAGCUAAAUGAUGGAGAAAUUGGACUGGCCAUGGAGCACUUCAAAUUGAUUGCUUAGUAAUGGGAUAUUUUUCCUGGAAAGACAACAGAAUACUUCUGAAUUGUUGGUUCUGUCAUGGGUACAGGCUCCCAUGUACAGGAAAAUAAAGAAAGUGUGAUGAAUUUUUCAUCUGGCCUUCUGCCUACUUUCUUGCUUUCUGCAUGUCUCCAUUUUUAGUCUGUAAGCCCUGCCUAGAUGACCAAUCACUAUUGCCCAUGUGGCAUAAAACCUACAAUUUAACUAUACUUCUUACCAAACUCUCAGCAAGUAUGAGGUAGCCAACAGCCUUUUCAAGAUAAUGACUGAGUCUUAGCUUAGGUUUCAGUCAUUUUAGGAAACAUAAAAAAUUCAAUGGUGGGAGAUCAUACACACUCUGCAAAGAUGUCAGAAGUCAAGUUUUGGGAGAGUCCACACACAAACUGAGCAGUGAUGGUAAAAUAUAUUUUUGAAAUAUUUCUCCUCUGUGACUGUUAUGUGAAGUAGAGCAAACACAUUGUGCUGCAGUGCUCUUUGGGACAUGCCUUUUUUGGGAAGUGCUAACUUUAUACUCUGCUGACACCAAACAUUUGAAUAUAAAACCUUAUUUUUUUCUCUCACUCUGCUCCACUUUUGGCUCAGCUUAUUCUACCAAAACACACUUCAAAAGACUUCUUUAUAGAAAGAAUGUUUCAAAAAUAUAAUAUUUCCAUCUGUUAUUUCAAUAAUACAUGCUCUGGGACUCUCUUUAUGAACCACUUUCCUUUCUUUGCUCCCAUUUAGAUGUAUAAAUAUUUGAUUGUAAAGCUCUAAGGAAUAGUCAGCCAAUCGGGUCACUGAAUUGUGAACAUUCCUAACCCUAUAAUUUUGUCUGUAGCAGGCACCUCCUGCUGUGGAACUAACUGCUAAGGGAUUAUAGCAAUGUAAUCCUCAGACUGUUCCAUCUCAAGGUUACUCUGAAGUGGAGGGAAGGAAGCCGUUUUAAUUUUGAUAAAAUAAACUUUAUUUUGUAACUUUAUUAUUUGUUUUUCUUUUUCCUUUCAACACUUCAUAAUAGAUGUGUCUGGUAAUUUGAAGUUAGCCUCUCUGGUUGAGGUGCCCUAAACCACCUCGUAUUAUUGUA